Molecule: transfer RNA, 69 nt
Filed under: Marmota monax (woodchuck)
Lineage: Eukaryota; Metazoa; Chordata; Mammalia; Rodentia; Sciuridae
Description: tRNA.Ala
Source: RNAcentral
GUUUGUGGCUCAAUGGUAGAGCACUUGCUUAGCAUGUGCAAGGCACUGGGUUUGAUCCUCAGCACCACA